This 433-nucleotide ribosomal RNA is filed under the name uncultured bacterium. RNAcentral describes it as "partial 16S ribosomal RNA". It matches the Rfam family "Bacterial small subunit ribosomal RNA", at positions 29 to 507 of the family's 1533-position model. The record is from RNAcentral.
AACGAACGCUGGCGGCAUGCCUAACCCAUGCAAGUCGAACGAGACCUUCGGGUCUAGUGGCGCACGGGUGCGUAACGCGUGGGAACCUCCCCUUAGGUUCGGAAUAACUCCCCGAAAGGGGUGCUAAUACCGGAUAAUGUCUUCGGCCCAAAGAUUUCUCGCCUUUGGAUGGGCCCGCGUUGGAUUAGCUAGUUGGUAGUGUAAAAGCCUACCAAGGCGACGAUCCAUAGCUGGUCUGAGAGGAUGAUCAGCCACACUGGGACUGAGACACGGCCCAGACUCCUACGCGAGGCAGCAGUGGGGAAUAUUGGACAAUGGGCGAAAGCCUGAUCCAGCAAUGCCGCGGGAGUGAUGAAGGCCUUAGGGUUGUAAAGCUCUUUUACCCGGGAUGAUAAUGACAGUACCGGGAGAAUAAGCUCCGGCUAACUCCGUG